Molecule: long non-coding RNA, 773 nt
Organism: Mus musculus (house mouse)
Lineage: Eukaryota; Metazoa; Chordata; Mammalia; Rodentia; Muridae
Product: predicted gene 20522
Exons: 3
Source: RefSeq, marked validated
CGGGAGGGACCAGCGGGGGCGGAGCUCCGCAACCCGUGAGGCGGACUCGACAGAGCGACCUCCUCCGAAGCCCCCGCGAUUCACUAGCGCAGGCGUAGAGAGAGGACCACCUAAGACCAGACCCUGAGCACGAACCCGGGUUCGGCUGCUCACCUCCCAGACCUUCCCGCCGCUGACACUGGUUAGGACUCUACUUCCUCUCUGGGGACUUUUAACUUCCCUACCACAAGGUAUUACACUUCAUCACAGCUGGCUUCCUCAAGUUCAAGGUUCAGCUCUCUGGGGCUUAGAGGAACUACUGUCAUCUGCGAUUAGAGCCUCAUAGAAAGCCCGGGCAGCAGCCCCGUCCAGGACAGGCUCUGCUUUCUCCUGCUGUGGUUGCUGCUGCCCAUCCUUCCAGAGGUCACUGGAGUCAGCCGCUGGGGUAAAUUCGAUGAAGGAUGGCCUAGACAUGCCUGUGAGAGAAACAAGAAAAUGAAGACUGGGCAAGGCAAGGAUGUGACAAGCAAGCGAUCCAACCAUUCAGGUAGCUAUUGUGAAGAUGACCAGCACCACCUCUGGGGGCCCGCUGAGAUGGGAAAGCAGCCUAGAACUAAAAUGGGCCUCCCAUCCCAAAACUGACUUCAUAGUUAGGAUUCUGUGGAGCCCGGGCCUCAUGGGUAAAAGGGACCCCAGGAAUAACAACAGAUCCUGUCACGAUGGGAUGGGUAAAACAGACCCCAGGAACAACAGAUCCUGUCAUGAUGUUAAUAAAAUUUCAUGAGGGCAUAGUA